CUACGGGUGGCACCAGUGAGGAAUAUUGCACAAUGGGGGGAACCCUGAUGCAGCAACGCCGCGUGGAGGAUGACGCAUUUCGGUGUGUAAACUCCUUUUAUAUGUCAAGAAAAUGACGGUAGCAUAUGAAUAAGCACCGGCUAACUCCGUGCCAGCAGCCGCGGUAAUACGGCGGGUGCAAGCGUUACUCGGACUCACUGGGCGUAAAGGACGCGUAGGCGGGUUGGAAAGUCAGGUGUGAAAUCCUACAGCUUAACUGUAGAACUGCACUUGAAACUUCUAAUCUAGAGUAUGGGAGGGGGAGAUGGAAUUAGUGGUGUAGGGGUAAAAUCCGUAGAUAUCACUAGGAAUACCUAAAGCGAAGGCGAUCUCCUGGAACAUUACUGACGCUAAGGCGUGAAAGCGUGGGGAGCAAACAGGAUUAGAUACCCCAGUAGUC
This 439-nucleotide ribosomal RNA is filed under the name uncultured bacterium. RNAcentral describes it as "partial 16S ribosomal RNA". It matches the Rfam family "Bacterial small subunit ribosomal RNA", at positions 339 to 795 of the family's 1533-position model. The record is from RNAcentral.